Molecule: long non-coding RNA, 3720 nt
Organism: Gallus gallus (chicken)
Lineage: Eukaryota; Metazoa; Chordata; Aves; Galliformes; Phasianidae
Exons: 2
Source: RefSeq, a predicted model, not a curated record
GCCCGGUGACCGCGCAGGCGCGGCGCGCUCCUCCACCACAACUUGGCUUAAAACUUUAAUGAAGCUUUAAUGAAAAACUCACAGCUCGGAGACUGAGGCGUACAGGCUUCUAAACACGUUGUAAAAACAUCGUUCUUACAUUCCUACCCCCUCGCUCCCCGUGCGCAGUCUUUAACAGUACCGAAAAGCGGUGGUUGCGGCUGUUUCCGUCCGUUGGCUGCGUGCACAGGACCGCGCGUGCGGGCUUCGCACGGCAGCGAUGCGUAUGAAGUGGAAGCGAUUGCUGCAGUCUGCCCGGCAAGACGUAGCGCACGGAGGAGCGAAGCGGCGUUACAAAAAGGACUUUUCCUCCCCCCCGCAGCACGCGUCACCGCCCCCAGUUAACCGAACAAAGAAACGAGGCGAAGGAGGGCAGAAAGAGCACCGCGCGCCCUCUCCUCCUCGCUCCCCGCUCAGGACGCGGCCUCAAAGAAGGCGACGAGCCGCUCCUGCUCGCAGCCAUCCAGCAGCUCCAGCAGCAGCGGAACUUUGCUCUUCACGUUGGUGCCUCGAAACUUAAAUUUAUCUAUGAAGAGAUCCGUGAUCAUCCCUGCAAAGGUAACAUUCCCAGACUUACACGUGGCCCUGCUUUCAGUAUGAGAUAUCUCUGCUUUGUGUACCAACUCUUUGGGCUGGUUUGGGUUUUAGAGACCAGACUUGUUAAAGCGAUGCCACGUUACAGCCGUCCAGCGACCAGCUCCAUUUCCACGUGGUGAUUCCUGCCUCACGUGUACCCGUCUCUGAACUGAGAAAGGAGCUGACCUCACAGAGCAGGCGCUGUCUGUUAAAGUUGGUGACUGGCAGGGAGUCCCUGAGCUCAAAGCUGGAUGGGGAACUGCAGAAGGUUACAGAAUUUCCUUCGCUAAACAGAUCAUCUCCUAAGCUUCUCCCCUUCCACCCUAUGCGCAUUCUUCUGUUAUGUUGUAACGCUUCACCACCGGAACUUCAUCAGUCACCUAUACGUUCUUCAACGCCACUCUGAACCACAUGCCUUAAUCUUGCCCAGAACAGACAGGCGCUGUACAAACUUAACAGUUCUGAAGCCACCGAGGGGUGCCUACCUAUCCAAUCAUCUCAGCUCUACUGACUGACUUCAGAACCACUUCAGUGGCGCCCAGAGGGCACUCUCUGAGCACUGAUUUGCAGUUAGGACAAGAAGUUUAAUGGAUGGACAAACCGUAAAGCCUCUCAAGAUGCGCAGGUUGUUUCUUGUAUUCCUCAAGCAGCUGAUCUGCCUCUUCCAAAAUGCUGCGGUAUUCUGGCACCAAGAAAUCCACAUUUCCUUCUUGCACUUGUAAUUCCUCAAAGAUAUUUUACAUCGUAAAAAAAUCAAAGGCAGUUAAGUAGCUUAAGAACAUAAAAGUAAGAGGAAAUUAAGCUUGGGUUUGACAGGAAGAAGCACUUCAGAGGCAAGACAAUCCCCUUCUGAACUAGCAAGAGUUAUUUUCAAGGAACCUCAUCUUUGAGGUCUUCUAACAAAACAUCAGCUGUUGCUUGUCACUGCAUAUGCCACAUUUACAAAAUGCUGUGUAUUACAGCUGCUAGCUCUCAGUACUGCUGAACGGGAUCACUCAGCCCUUACACAAUGAAGCCUAAUGAAGGCUCAAAGCCUCCACCACACCUCGGUUUUAGAAUAAGUAAAUUCCUAGAAAGCAUAAUACAUUAACAGUCUGAACAUAAAAGGGAAUUCUAGAGGCAUCGCUGAACUUACGACAGCAAAAUGUUUUACACACUCCUAAAACGCUCCCGUCAAUCAUCUGUUCACUGUGCUCACUGCCAGUUCUUCUGCUGACGAAAGAGGUCCCAAACUAGCAUUGGAUCCCACCAAAGGGCAAGAAGGAAUUGCUUGUCCAUUUUCAUCCCCCCUCCUCCCUCCAGAAAACACACCAGAAGAUUACAGCAGGUUUUGGAUUAUAAAAUCCUGCCUGUUGGAGAGAUCCAAGAACUCAGACAAGCUGCCAAAGUGACAUCUCUCAGAGAUUAACCAUUGAGGAGAAUAUUAGGCAGAGAUUAAUUAUGAACAGAGAAGCUUCAGAAACGAUGGCACGCUGGGAUGACAGUCCAAAGCAAGGAAGUCUUAUCUGGCAUGGACAGUGAUAUCUAGAGCUAAAAAACUUUUAAAGGUUAGUGCAGGGAGCUGAAGAUGGAACUGGAAAAUAACAGUAGGCAAAAAGAACGUUAGAUGACAAAGCUGGCUGCCUUAUACUGUUUGACUUAGGCAUCCUCAACAUCAAUCAGUAAUCCCACGUUAUUCAAUAAUGACACAGCACCAAUAGGAAUUUACUUCAAGAAGGCUGUCUCCUAGUAAUUGAAGUACACGUCCUGGGGACAGAAACACACAUACCGGUAUGACACGCCUCUGACUUGAGCCACAACAGGUUGUUAUCUGACAAGACAAUCCCUGUCAAAAUCCUUCCAUGGGAGCUCAGGUACUUACUCUCAAAGCAUCUAUUAAAUGAACCUUCUUGGCCAACAGCUGCUGAUACUCUAAUUUGGGGUGGAUGAGCUUUAAUGUAUGCCUCACAGAUUCUUCAUUUAUAUCUAGUAGCAGAAAACAAAAAACAGACGAACAAAAAACAAACAAACAAAAAACCCCCACACCCCAACAAACGAAUGAGCAAUACAUCAAUACAUAUUCCAUUGAUGAGAAUAUAAAAUGAUGCAAAGAACAAUAAAAUAGAAGAAGUUUUACCAAAUGAUAUGUUGAGAUUAAUCUUCCUUUUAGUAGCCUCUUUGGAAAGCACAUCUUUUAGGAUGGAUAUUGUAGAAAUAUUGUCAGACUUGAAACAUCCCUCACCUAUUCUAUAAAGGGAAAAAAACUUCAUGUUGAACAAACUUACAAGCAUGUGCAAGCAUUAGAUGUGUCUGUUUUAAGAUAUAAGACCUACAAAUUAACACCUUUGCUGAAGGAAGAUAGAAGUAAUUAAGUCGUAAACAGAGUACUGAUGUUAAACACAUUUAAUCUAAGUUGCAGCAGUGGGUUUUCAGCAAAAUGCUUAUUCACAUUUUGUCUGCAUGAAUGUUAAACGCCUUUCAAGUUGUUUCCACUCCUCAGUACAAAAAAAAAAAACAACCAACCAACCAAACAUAAGGAAAGUAGAAACUACUGAACAAUGAGCAUAUCACAAAAUAACUUGACUGUAUUAUUUAUCUUCUUCAAAUUCUAGAAACAAAUUGGAGAGGAACAGUAGAAUGUGAAUGAAAUGAUACUAACAGGGUGGUCAAGAAUGAAAAAGACAAAAAUCAAAACACAGCCACAUAGUGCGUAUUUUACCUUGUCCUGAACUGCUGUGCAGGUGGCUUACAACAACUUUAAUGUAAGAUGUGCAACUCUGUCUUUCAGACAUGCAUGAAGUAUAUUCAUGACUGAAGCGUUUCCCUAUUUUAACAAGGGGAUUACAAUGCUCAUUCACGAAACCAAGGAUCAAGUUACAGAUUUAUUAAUGAUUCCUUUACUUAAAUGUAUGCUUCUGACAUACAUUUCUUAUAUAGAUGUGUAGAUUCUUAUAUAGAUGCUACUUCGUAUAUAGAUGUGUUUUCUGUGUAAUUAAAUCUAAGAUUGUUAUGAAAACCAAAUUAAAGGACUCCUAAUGAUUAAUUACUUGAUUUGGCACUGCUUUUAACUUCACAGCAGUGCAAGGAAACAUUGAUAAAAACUAAGCGUGCUUCCUAAAAUCAAAA